UAGCCAGACUCCUACGGGAGGCAGCAGUGGGGAAUAUUGCACAAUGGGGGAAACCCUGAUGCAGCAACGCCGCGUGAAGGAAGACGGUUUUCGGAUUGUAAACUUCUGUUCUUAGUGAAGAAGAAUGACGGUAGCUAAGGAGCAAGCCACGGCUAACUCCGUGCCAGCAGCCGCGGUAAUACGGAGGAUGCGAGCGUUAUCCGGAUUUAUUGGGUUUAAAGGGUGCGUAGGCGGGACGUUAAGUCAGCGGUAAAAAUGCGGAGCUCAACUCCGUCGAGCCGUUGAAACUGCCGUUCUUGAGUGAGCGAGAAGUAUGCGGAAUGCGUGGUGUAGCGGUGAAAUGCAUAGAUAUCACGCAGAACUCCGAUUGCGAAGGCAGCAUACCGGCGCUCAACUGACGCUGAAGCACGAAGGCGUGGGUAUCGAGCAGGAUUAGAUACCCGCGUACA
Molecule: ribosomal RNA, 449 nt
Filed under: uncultured bacterium
Lineage: Bacteria
Description: bacterial SSU rRNA
Rfam family: Bacterial small subunit ribosomal RNA
Source: RNAcentral